Molecule: ribosomal RNA, 252 nt
Filed under: uncultured bacterium
Lineage: Bacteria
Description: partial 16S ribosomal RNA
Rfam family: Bacterial small subunit ribosomal RNA
Source: RNAcentral
UACGGAGGAUGCGAGCGUUAUCCGGAUUUAUUGGGUUUAAAGGGUGCGUAGGCGGGAUGCCAAGUCAGCGGUAAAAAUGCGGUGCUCAACGCCGUCGAGCCGUUGAAACUGGCGUUCUUGAGUGGGCGAGAAGUAUGCGGAAUGCGUGGUGUAGCGGUGAAAUGCAUAGAUAUCACGCAGAACUCCGAUUGCGAAAGCAGCAUACCGGCGCCCUACUGACGCUGAGGCACGAAAGCGUGGGUAUCGAACAGG